GCACAAGCGGUGGAGCAUGUGGUUAAUCGAAGCAACGCGAAGAACCUUACCAGGUCUUGACAUCCCUGACAACCAAGAGAUUGGGCGUUCCCCGUCGGGGGACAGGGUGACAGGUGGUGCAUGGUUGUCGUCAGCUCGUGUCGUGAGAUGUUGGGUUAAGUCCCGCAACGAGCGCAACCCUCGCCUCUAGUUGCCAGCAUUCGGUUGGGCACUCUAGAGGGACUGCCGGCGACAAGUCGGAGGAAGGUGGGAUGACGUCAAAUCAUCAUGCCCCUUAUGACCUGGGCUACACACGUGCUACAAUGGGCGGUACAAAGGGCUGCGAACCCGCGAGGGGGAGCGAAUCCCAAAAAGCCGCUCUCAGUUCGGAUUGCAGGCUGCAACUCGCCUGCAUGAAGCCGGAAUCGCUAGUAAUCGCGGAUCAGCAUGCCGCGGUGAAUACGUUCCCGGGCCUU
This 455-nucleotide ribosomal RNA is filed under the name uncultured Geobacillus sp. Its description in RNAcentral is "bacterial SSU rRNA". It matches the Rfam family "Bacterial small subunit ribosomal RNA", at positions 923 to 1382 of the family's 1533-position model. Lineage: Bacteria; Bacillati; Bacillota; Bacilli; Caryophanales; Anoxybacillaceae. The record is from RNAcentral.